Molecule: ribosomal RNA, 251 nt
Filed under: uncultured prokaryote
Description: partial 16S rRNA
Rfam family: Bacterial small subunit ribosomal RNA
Source: RNAcentral
ACGGAGGAUCCGAGCGUUAUCCGGAUUUAUUGGGUUUAAAGGGUGCGUAGGUGGUUUGAUAAGUCAGCGGUGAAAGUUUGCAGCUUAACUGUAAAAAUGCCGUUGAAACUGUCAGACUUGAGUGUAAAUGAGGUAGGCGGAAUGCGUGGUGUAGCGGUGAAAUGCAGAGAUACCUGGCAGACCUCCGAUGGCGAAGGCAGCUCACUAAGCUACAACUGACACUGAAGCACGAAAGCGUGGGGAGCAAACAG